Molecule: ribosomal RNA, 460 nt
Filed under: uncultured bacterium
Lineage: Bacteria
Description: partial 16S ribosomal RNA
Rfam family: Bacterial small subunit ribosomal RNA
Source: RNAcentral
CCUACGGGGGGCAGCAGUGAGGAAUAUUGGUCAAUGGACGAGAGUCUGAACCAGCCAAGUAGCGUGAAGGAUGACUGCCCUAUGGGUUGUAAACUUCUUUUAUAUGGGAAUAAAAUGUUCCACGUGUGGGAUUUUGUAUGUACCAUAUGAAUAAGGAUCGGCUAACUCCGUGCCAGCAGCCGCGGUAAUACGGAGGAUCCGAGCGUUAUCCGGAUUUAUUGGGUUUAAAGGGAGCGUAGGUGGAUUGUUAAGUCAGUUGUGAAAGUUUGCGGCUCAACCGUAAAAUUGCAGUUGAAACUGGCAGUCUUGAGUACAGUAGAGGUGGGCGGAAUUCGUGGUGUAGCGGUGAAAUGCUUAGGUAUCACGAAGAACUCCGAUUGCGAAGGCAGUUCACUGGACUGCAACUGACACUGAGGCUCGAAAGUGUGGGUAUCAAACAGGAUUUGAUACCCCUGUAGUC